Orcinus orca (killer whale) is the source of this 4763-nucleotide long non-coding RNA. RefSeq lists it as uncharacterized. NCBI's taxonomy places the organism in Eukaryota, Metazoa, Chordata, Mammalia, Artiodactyla, Delphinidae. The record is from RefSeq and is a predicted model, not a curated record. The transcript is spliced from 2 exons.
AAAAAAGUACAUAAAUGUAACCAGAACUUGGGUACCCAACCAAAUAUAGACUUCUUAGGGGCAGAAUCCUUGGCUGCUUUGUUCACUUCCUGGCACGUACGUCAGAGGAAAACCACAUGAACAAUGUUGGAGUCUUUCUAUAUUUUCUUUGCAAACGUAAAGCAUAUGCAAGGUAGCUGAGCUUUCCAAUUAGCUGGCUCUCAGAAUAAAGUGAGAAGGUGAUACAUGUAGGUACAAUUAUUAUAUGAUUGUCAGCAAUUCUGAUUAAAUACAUAUGGGUCAGUUUUUGAAAACAGAAAAGUUUGUCUUUGAUUAAAAUAAAAUUUGAAAAACAACACCUCCUCCCUAACAGAAUGUUCCUAGCUUCUUUUCCCCCUUCUUUUGUAGCUUAUCUCAAGAUAGAAAACUUUUGGGAAGGCCCUGUAGUUCAUUCAUGGCUUAGCUCUUACGAGUGAAGGUCUUCAGAAAUGUAGAAGUUCUGGGUCACAACUGACUGUGUUGGCUGGCACUUAGGCUAAGUUUUACUAUUUUUGCAUAGUAGGCAUUUAAUAAAUAAUUGUUGAAGGAAGAAAAGAGGAAGACAUGAGAUCAGGCAUGUGAAGUGGUUAUCAGAAUGCCUGGCUCAUAGUAGUUGCUCAAUAAAAGACAGAUGCUUGGAUUUGUAAACAAUGAGAUGCCCUGAGUAAGAGUAUUAAAAGGAAUGUGCUGUGGAUUCUGAAGAAGAAAAGAAGUAUUCUAGGGGCUCCUAUAAAAGCCUUUGGCCUCUUGGUAAAAGAGACAAGAAACUGCCUUGAUUCUCCUUAUUUUUAUAUUGAACCCAGACAUGAUGCCAUUUGUGGCAUAAAGUGACAGAGGUGAGGACAAAGGUCAUAUGUCAAUGGUGGCUGAGUAAAAGUCCACCUUCAUAACAGCUUAAUGGAGCUGACGUACCAGCCCUACACUGUUGACCUCCUGACUUGUGGUUGUGUGAUUUGGAUAAGCCACUAGAUGUUGGCUCUGUCAUUUUGUGCAGCCAGAAGGAAUCCUGACAAUCCAGCCACACUAGACUCAACGGGCACGUCUGCAUGUGUGGAUCCCACCACCAAUGAGGUGCAGUCUUGAGAUGGAAAAGCAAAGACAUUCCCCUGUGUCUCCUUUAUACUGGCCUUCAAUUUUAUUCUUUGGUAAGUUUCCAGGUCCGCUUUUAUUGAUAUUACACACAGGAUUAUCAUUUCUUGAGUUUCCUUCUAGCUCUCAUCUCAUAUUCCCCAUGACUGUUCUUCAGGGUGACAGUGAUGAAGAGGAUAAGGUCUAUAUCCAAGUCCAACUCAUCUCAGACGUCUGGGCCUCUCAGAGCCACAUAAAUUCACUCCUGGAACUGCCCUCUGGGCACCGACGAAGUAGGCGGGAAUGUCAGCUCUGCCUACAAGUGCAGAGGUGAUCUAGUCCAGGGGUCCCUUGGAGGUGCAUCAAAGACUUACUGAGAAGAGGGAGCCCAACAUUUGGACUUGGGUGUGUCUCUCAUUACAAACACCUCAGUGACUGGUGUCUGCCAGAGCAACGUUUUGCAGGGACGUCGUGAAAGGCUGAUGGAGAAGUGGAAUCCAGCUCCUUUCUUUCUCUCAGCGGGGUCUCCCUAGCCUGGAGGAGGUUUGGAGAUAUUCGUCUUCCUCUGAGCAGCCCUGAGGUCUGGCCACCUAAAAUUAGGGAAACAACAGGGGGACAGAUAGGAGGGUGUGAAAGACCAGCUGGGAGAUGAUUUUAUUUAGGCUCUCACAGUAGGGGAAAUGUUCACUAGUGAGAACUACCUCAAAGAAAAGAAAGAAAACCUGGAGUUUUACAGAAAAGCAAGUAAACAAGGAGUGCUGAGAAAAGGUAGGAGAGAGUGAGCCUUAUCUGAGUCCUGAGGAAUCUCUGCCAGGGCAGGGCGAUCCUUUGUGCUUUGCCCUUUCUUGGAACGUGAUAGCAUUGGAGGGGAUUUCUUAACUGUAGCCGCUUUCUGGGAACACAGGGCUCAGAUAAAGUUUAACAUUGUCAAGGGAAAACUCUAAAGCAAAUAUGUAUAUGCCGCUCUUUCCCCCCUCUGCAGUUAAAGGCUUCUUUUUUAAAAGAAUUGAAGUAUAGUUGACUUACAAUAACAUAUUAAUUUCAGGUAUACAACAGAGUAAUUUGAUAUUUUUAAAGAUAUACUCCAUAGAAACUUAUUAUAAAAUGUUGACUAUAUUCCCUGUGUUGUACAUGACAUCCUUGUAACUUCUUUAUUUUAUACCUAGUAGUUUGUAUCUUUUAACCCCCUCACCUACUUCCCCCUCCCCUACCUUCCCCCCCUCCAAUAAAUCCCAGUUUGACCUCUGUAUCUGUGAGUCUGUUUCUGUUUGGUUAUACUUGUUCAUUUGUUUUAUUUUCUAGAUUCCACAUCUAAGUGAAAACCUACCGUAUUUGUCUUUCUCUGUCUGACUUAUUUCACUAAGAAUAACACCUUCCCACAGUUAAAGGCUUCUUUUCACACAGCUGGCAUCCUAUCUUGUUCCUGGCUAGUUGUCAACUAAUUCUUAAUAAAGUGUGAAACACCUAAGGUUCUGAUUUGCAUAAAGAUGGUAUUUGUGAGCUUAUGUUUGGACUAUGUUAUGAUUUUUAAAAGAAGAAGAGACCCAUUUUAAUAGUAAUCUUUAAAAGCGAAGUUUCUGACAGAUGACAAUUCACUUGGACUAUUACGUGGAAAUCCCUGCCACAAAAGGAAGAAACUUGCAUUUUCUCAGCACACCCAGGUUUGACAGGACUCCUGUGAUCUUAGGACCUCCUGCAGCCCUGCAAAGUCAGAGUUUCUCAACUUCUGAUGAUGGGGUCUCGUUAACUCUUCGUGGUGGGGUCUGUCCUGUGCAUUUUUGGGUAUGUUGCGGCAUUCCUGGCCUCUCCCCUCUCUAUGCCAUCAGCACUCCCAUCCCUCCCUCCCCUCUGCAGUAGGGACCAUCAGAAACGUCUGCGGACAUUGCCAAGUGUCCUCUGGGAGGCAAAAACGUCCCCAGCUGAGAACCAGUGAUUAAAGAGUUUAUGUUUUAGAUUCAGAAAAGGUCAGGAUUUGAAUAGGAAUGGAAAAUAUAAGCCCUACUUUGAAACAGAGUUUAAUAAAAGAAUUAGGUUGAUAGGGUAGUAACCGGAAACAACAUUACAGUCCAUGGAAGUAGGCAGAAAAGCACAGAAUAACUAGGACCAAGUGUUAAAAAUCCAAAGGAAGGGAUGAGGGAAAGACUGGUGCCUAAUUAAGAAAGACCUGGGCGUUUCCAAAUGAACAAAAUUAAAGAAAAAAUGUGAUCAGGAGAUUAAAAGUCCACUUAAAGGUCAUGUGGUAUAGUUGUUGAUUUCCUUUUCUGUUAUUUUAAUACUUAAUUAUUUCAUAUGAAGAUUAUAUAUUUUUAUUUUGUUCCAUUUAUAUUAAUAAGUGAUAUUUAAAAGGACACGUGUUCAGCCAUGUUCUUUUCUUUUUCAUGUUUCAGGAGAACUUACUCAGUCUGAGACUCAGUUGUGCCAUCUGGUGUUACAAACCUCAAACUGCAGGCAAAAAGAAUCCUGAGAAAAUUCUCUGGGGGCCUAACAGGCCGAUUUGCUUUUUCUCAGAGACAAAACAAAAGCAAAAACAACAACAACAAAAACGCACAACAAGGUGGUAUUGAAGGCAGUUUAACACGCAACUGUUUUCAGUAGUAUUUCUGUUUUAACAGUAUUUUCACUAGUUUUAAAUCUCUUGUGGGCUGGGACCGGGUCUCAUUUGCCUUUGUAUCCUUAGCAUGAUCCUUAGAAUACAGUAGAUACUUAAUACAUAUUUGCUGAAUAAAUGGAUGAAUGCAUGUGGUUUGAGACUCAAAGAAAUGGGUCUCCUUGGCAAAAUUUCAGGCAGAGACAGGUAUGCUGUGCUGGGCAGUGGUAGGACCAGGAAAAAGCAUCAUGGCAUUUGAGUAGUUUCUAUGCCAUCAUUGGGAAGCGUUCCUUAGAGAAUAGACCCGUCUAGUAACGUGGGCCCAACAUUUCAGCAUGGUCUGCAACACUCAUCAUGAUCUCUGCAAAGAACCUUAACCCGGACCAGGGAUGUUUUUAGAGCCCUCUCACCUCUGAGCCACAGCCACCAUCCUCUGAACUCCAGCUCUAUUAAGAGGACUUAAUUCUGCAACCAAAACCUCUGAGGUUUAAGAGCUGUAUUUGUGCAGCCACAUAGCCAAAUUCACUGGUAGGAACUAGAGAGUUUUCUAAGAUCCUGUUCACUCGUGAAUUUGCAUGUCGAAAUGAAGAUGUAGAAAUAUCCAUGAUAGACAUUCUCCUGUAUUUCGCCAUGUGGUUGAGUGUUAUGAGAUUUAUAGCUUGAGAACAUAAUGCACAGAUUUGUAAAAUUUCAUGGAGUUUUGCCAGAAUGGAUGGAGUCCGUGAUAUUCCUCUGAUUUGAAGUAUUUAUUUUAUCGACUGGUGAAAUGAUAAUCAUUUUUAUUCUUUUUUUUUUUUUCUCACUCAUUCCUUCUAUAAACAUGUGCUAACUGAGCGCUUGUUCUGAGUAGAGAACUGUGCUAGGAGCCUUUAAGGUUUGAGGAAGGCAGAGGCUCUUUAAAACCAAGAAAGAAGACAGUUUAAUAGUGAAAAUGAAAGUUUAAGAGUGAAAGUUCUAAGAGUUUAAGUGAAAAUGCAACUGGUGCACCUUUGCAAGACCCUGACUACAUUCUGUGAUUAUGGUUUGAAUUUGCAUAUGCUUAUUUGGUGCAGUGAAGGGAGCGCUGAGCAGAAUAAAUUCUCCUUGUUCA